This 533-nucleotide small RNA is filed under the name Oryza sativa Japonica Group (Japanese rice). Its description in RNAcentral is "misc RNA Os09g0476100". Lineage: Eukaryota; Viridiplantae; Streptophyta; Magnoliopsida; Poales; Poaceae. The record is from RNAcentral.
CACAUGCCUUUUGGUUAGCGAAUCAGCUUGCAACUGUCAACUGUUUACUGCUUAUAACAUCGGUGGAUUUUACCUGCUUGUCUCCAAGGAUCUGUUGUAGCAUUAAUUGAGAUUAAUAAAAGCAGUUGGAAUAACAAGAUGUAGCUGCGGCUGUGACUUCAACUUCCUGCCUUCCUCUAAUUCAAGAUGUAGCUGCUGCCUGCCCACCCCUACCAUUAACCAUAAUAUAGUGCUCAAGUAGCUUACUGCCAGAAAAACUGUCAAAUGUAUUGUGAUUCCCCUAAGUAGCUUUCUGCUUAAUUUCUUUUCUAGUGGGGAUAAAAGAACUCUGUACUAUUACUUUGUAUUAGGACGAUCCUCUGGUCUGUGUUGUGAGUUGUAAGUUGUAACUCGUGACUUGGCUUUUACUCACUUUUCCCUUCUGCUGAUGGCGGACAGAGGACUCGACAGUCAACAUUCCUGUGGCUCAGUCCUUCACUGAAGGUAGCUUGGGAGUGUCUGAUUUUGCUUGGUUUUAUAUGUUUUGUUGUAUU